This 30-nucleotide non-coding RNA is filed under the name Mus musculus (house mouse). Lineage: Eukaryota; Metazoa; Chordata; Mammalia; Rodentia; Muridae. The record is from RNAcentral.
UGGGCCAGUACUGGAAGAUAGCUCCCAUGC